RNAcentral lists this ribosomal RNA (253 nucleotides) under uncultured bacterium. Its description in RNAcentral is "partial 16S ribosomal RNA". It matches the Rfam family "Bacterial small subunit ribosomal RNA", at positions 524 to 776 of the family's 1533-position model. The record is from RNAcentral.
UACGUAGGGUGCAAGCGUUGUCCGGAAUUAUUGGGCGUAAAGAGCUCGUAGGCGGUUUGUCGCGUCUGCUGUGAAAACCCGAGGCUCAACCUCGGGCCUGCAGUGGGUACGGGCAGACUAGAGUGCGGUAGGGGAGAUUGGAAUUCCUGGUGUAGCGGUAGAAUGCGCAGAUAUCAGGAGGAACACCGAUGGCGAAGGCAGAUCUCUGGGCCGUAACUGACGCUGAGGAGCGAAAGCAUGGGGAGCGAACAGG